This 21-nucleotide non-coding RNA is filed under the name Caenorhabditis elegans. The record is from RNAcentral. Lineage: Eukaryota; Metazoa; Nematoda; Chromadorea; Rhabditida; Rhabditidae.
UCAUAGUUCAUUUUGAAAAUA